CACGCAGGCGGUUUGUUAAGUCAGAUGUGAAAUCCCCGGGCUCAACCUGGGAACUGCAUUUGAAACUGGCAAGCUAGAGUCUCGUAGAGGGGGGUAGAAUUCCAGGUGUAGCGGUGAAAUGCGUAGAGAUCUGGAGGAAUACCGGUGGCGAAGGCGGCCCCCUGGACGAAGACUGACGCUCAGGUGCGAAAGCGUGGGAAGCAAACA
RNAcentral lists this ribosomal RNA (207 nucleotides) under uncultured bacterium. Its description in RNAcentral is "partial 16S ribosomal RNA". It matches the Rfam family "Bacterial small subunit ribosomal RNA", at positions 568 to 774 of the family's 1533-position model. The record is from RNAcentral.